RNAcentral lists this ribosomal RNA (388 nucleotides) under uncultured bacterium. Its description in RNAcentral is "bacterial SSU rRNA". It matches the Rfam family "Bacterial small subunit ribosomal RNA", at positions 28 to 417 of the family's 1533-position model. The record is from RNAcentral.
GAUGAACGCUAGCGGCAGGCUUAAUACAUGCAAGUCGAACGGUAACAGGUCUUCGGACGCUGACGAGUGGCGCACGGGUGAGGAACACGUACACAAUCUACCUUAUACUGGAGAAUAGCCCCGGGAAACUGGGAUUAAUACUCCAUAGUCUUUAAUGAUCACAUGAGAAAUAAAGUAAAGCUUCGGCGGUAUAAGAUGAGUGUGCGUCCCAUUAGAUUGUUGGUGAGGUAACGGCUCACCAAGUCGACGAUGGGUAGCUGGCGUGAGAGCGCGACCAGCCACACUGGCACUGAGACACGGGCCAGACUCCUACGGGAGGCAGCAGUAGGGAAUUUUGGACAAUGGGGGCAACCCUGAUCCAGCCAUGCCGCGUGAGUGAAGAAGGCCU